ACGCCAUUCAGCCCUGUUUUUAAAAAACUGACAUAACAUAGGGAGACACUAAAACUAAUAAUCACUUUAAUGGGGGUCACUUUUGUACUGCCCCGGGCUGCAACAAUGAGUUUUAUGUGAAAACCGAGGAUAUACUGUCUACUUUCACUCUCUAUUGCUUAAGCUGUCAGUGGUUCUUUGUUGUUUGGCUAGCUACACUGACACUGUUAGCCAGAAUGUUCUGGCUUGUAAAGCACCAGAGGUGGGUAGUAACGAGCUACAUUUACUCCGUUACAUUUACUUGAGUAAGUUUUUGAAAAAAAUGUACUUUUAAGUACCUUUUUUGCACGAUACUUUUUACUUUUACUUGAGUACAUUUAUGAAGAAGAAACGGUACUUUUACUCCGCUACAUUUGCAAAAUUCGACUCGUUACUUUAAAAAAAAAAAUUAGUUUAACACAUUAACACAUGCCGUCAGUGGAGUUUCCGGUAACUUUUUUACCAAUGAGACGUGGCCAUACAGUCACAUGACCAGUUUGAAACCGUGGCGGGCGGAGCGGCCCAAGCGUUUCAAAGUAGCGGACACACGGAAAGAAGAAAUAUGAUUGUAGAGUCUAUGCUAGAGCCGAAGAGGAUGAACACCUUUGGCCUCACAUACAAAGAAUGUUUCGCUUAAAAGCAGCACAAAAGAACAGCUAUGUCUGCAGUGUCGGUGUCUACAGGGAGAGCCAAAACAAACCAACUUUUCAGCGUGAAACAACUGAGGAAACGGUCUCCACUUCAUUAGACAUCACGUAGACACAGAGCUGGAUGAGGCCAGCACAAACAGCAGCCUAACCCACGAAGAUGAUGGAUCCAUGGGGUCAGGAAAGCCAGAAGCAGAGGAACUGGAGAGGUACCUUUCACUGUCCAAUGUCCAUUCACUGGAGGUGUGGAUGUAUUGCAUGGCUUUCCUCAGAUCAAGAAGCUGUCGAUCAAAGUCAAUACAGCUCUUCCUGCAUCUGCAGCCUGUGAGAGACUUUUUAGUCAUGCAGGACUCCUGUUCACUGCCAAACGGUCACAGCUUCACAGCAAGAACCUUGAGAGCCAACUGCUGCUGAAGCUGAACCACCAUUUCACUGACUGAAGAAACAAUUUAUGGUAAAGUGAGCCAUACACAUAUGUACAUCCACAUAGUGGAAAUUUGUAUUUGUCUUUUAUAAUUAGUUUUACUCUGAUUUCAGUGUUUAUUUGUGAGUGUAGUUUUUACAUAUUACAUUGUGUUAAUCCACUGUCUAUACUUCAGGGUAUUUUAGUAUACAAAAUAAGUUUUGUUAGAAUGCCUAUUCCUGUGGAAUUUUAGCACAGAUGUGUUGUUUUCUUUUUUUUAUUCCUGCUGUCCGCCUUGGGAAUAAACUUUUCCUGAUUAUA
Long non-coding RNA from Oreochromis niloticus (Nile tilapia), 1389 nucleotides. RefSeq lists it as uncharacterized. Lineage: Eukaryota; Metazoa; Chordata; Actinopteri; Cichliformes; Cichlidae. The transcript is spliced from 2 exons. The record is from RefSeq and is a predicted model, not a curated record.